CCCUAUUUUUUUUUUUUUUUUUUUUUUUUACAUAAAGUCAGUUUGGGUUUGUUUUUUUUUGCGUAAGAAAAUUUUUCCUCAAAAUAGGUAAAUUUUUUGAAUGACGUCAUUGUUUGGUAUGUGACGUCACGAACGUCGAGUUUUCAUAUUGUAUGUGACGUCACGAACGUCAAGUUUUCAUAUUUUUUGGCACACUAAAUGCAACUAUGAAAAAUACAAAACACGCAAAUUAAUACAAUAAUAAACAAAAUAUUUUUAAAACAACAGCACGCAAAUUGUAAGGUAACCCAGGUGCUUCGGAUAAGUAAUUGAGCAGUUCUUUUAAGGCCUUUGAAACAAGACAAAAGUAGAACUGAAAGGUAACCAGUGCUAUGGAUCAGAAAACAGUUCAUAUAAUAAAUACUCUUCUGUUGAAAUAUAUGAUAAAGUGUAUAAUACAUGGCAA
Molecule: long non-coding RNA, 445 nt
Filed under: Mytilus galloprovincialis (Mediterranean mussel)
Lineage: Eukaryota; Metazoa; Mollusca; Bivalvia; Mytilida; Mytilidae
Source: RNAcentral